This 306-nucleotide long non-coding RNA is filed under the name Fukomys damarensis (Damara mole-rat). Its description in RNAcentral is "lncRNA (ENSFDAG00000028292.1)". Lineage: Eukaryota; Metazoa; Chordata; Mammalia; Rodentia; Bathyergidae. The record is from RNAcentral.
UCUCAGGCUCCCUUACAUAAACUGAAGCCCACUGCGAAAGUGAAGAGAAUCUCUGCAGUAAAAGCCCACCAGACCACCAUGGGUGGCAAGUUGGAGGGAUCAACACCUCACAUCAAAACCUGCACUAUCCUCAGGGGAAAGGCAGCUGGAACCUGCAGUAGAACCUUGCAGGGUUCAACCCUGCAGAAGUUCAGUAAUUGAACCCUCAGCCAAACAGAUGGACAGUAGUACCAAUGAAAUGAACAUAUUUAUGUAGAUAGCCCAGCACAAAUUGAUGUGCAGCUGAACUUAAAGACAGGAAACAAG